This 163-nucleotide long non-coding RNA is filed under the name Canis lupus dingo (dingo). Its description in RNAcentral is "lncRNA (ENSCAFG00020005940.1)". The record is from RNAcentral. Lineage: Eukaryota; Metazoa; Chordata; Mammalia; Carnivora; Canidae.
GAACUUUCGGGGUCAGUGCCCUUCUAAACUCCCCUUCCCCCAAUAAUGCAGCUGUAUAAUGAAUGGUAAAUGCAGCGGUUUGGAUUCAGGCACAGCCCCAGCCUGCUUGCAGCAGAGAGAUAAACUGGUAGGUGGCAGCAGAAGAAGGAAUUCUUCAGAUUGA